This 854-nucleotide ribosomal RNA is filed under the name uncultured bacterium. RNAcentral's name for it is "bacterial SSU rRNA". It matches the Rfam family "Bacterial small subunit ribosomal RNA", at positions 524 to 1381 of the family's 1533-position model. The record is from RNAcentral.
UACGUAAGGUCCGAGCGUUGUCCGGAAUCAUUGGGCGUAAAGGGUACGUAGGCGGAUAAGCAAGUUAGAAGUGAAAUCCUAUAGCUCAACUAUAGUAAGCUUUUAAAACUGCUCAUCUUGAGGUAUGGAAGGGAAAGUGGAAUUCCUAGUGUAGCGGUGAAAUGCGCAGAUAUUAGGAGGAAUACCGGUGGCGAAGGCGACUUUCUGGCCAUAAACUGACGCUGAGGUACGAAAGCGUGGGUAGCAAACAGGAUUAGAUACCCUGGUAGUCCACGCCGUAAACGAUGAGUGUUAGGUGUCUGGAAUAAUCUGGGUGCCGCAGCUAACGCAAUAAACACUCCGCCUGGGGAGUACGCACGCAAGUGUGAAACUCAAAGGAAUUGACGGGGACCCGCACAAGCAGCGGAGCAUGUGGUUUAAUUCGACGCAACGCGAAGAACCUUACCAAGUCUUGACAUAUUACGGAGGUAUGUAGAGAUACGUACUUACUUCUUCGGAAGACUGUAAUACAGGUGGUGCAUGGUUGUCGUCAGCUCGUGUCGUGAGAUGUUGGGUUAAGUCCCAUAACGAGCGCAACCCCUAUUGUUAGUUACCAUCAUUAAGUUGGGGACUCUAGCAAUACUGCCGGUGACAAACCGGAGGAAGGUGGGGAUGACGUCAAAUCAUCAUGCCCUUUAUGACUUGGGCUACACACGUGCUACAAUGGCAGGUACAGAGGGAAGCGAGACUGCGAAGUUAAGCAAAACUCAAAAAGCCUGUCCCAGUUCGGAUUGCACUCUGCAACUCGAGUGCAUGAAGUUGGAGUUGCUAGUAAUCGCAGAUCAGAAUGCUGCGGUGAAUGCGUUCCCGGGUCU